GGAAGGAUCAUUACCGAAUUGUCAACAAGAGUUGUUGCUGGUCUCCGUAUGGGGGCAUGUGCACGCUCUGUUUACACAUCCACUCACACCUGUGCACGCUCUGUAGUUCUAUGGCCUGGGUGGGCUCUGUCCUCCUGCUGUGGUUCUAUGUCUUUACACACACACUACAACAAAGUCUCAUGGAAUGUAUGUCGCGUUUAACGCAAUGAAAUACAACUUUCAGCAACGGAUCUCUUGGCUCUCGCAUCGAUGAAGAACGCAGCGAAAUGCGAUAAGUAAUGUGAAUUGCAGAAUUCAGUGAAUCAUCGAAUCUUUGAACGCACCUUGCGCCCUUUGGCUAUUCCGAAGGGCAUGCCUGUUUGAGUAUCAUGAACACCUCAACUCUCAUGGCUUGCCAUGAUGUGCUUGGACUUUGGGGGUCUUGUUGGCCUGUGAGCCAGCUCCUCUUAAAUGAAUUAGCUUGCCGGUGUUUGGUGGCGUCACAGGUGUGAUAACUAUCUACGCUUGUGGUUUCCCACCAGGGUAACCUUCAGCAAUGAAGGUUCACCGGAGCUUAUAAAUGUCUCUCCUCAGUGAGGACAGAUUUUGACCAUUUGAUCUCAAAUCAGGUA
Molecule: ribosomal RNA, 611 nt
Filed under: uncultured fungus
Lineage: Eukaryota; Fungi
Description: eukaryotic LSU rRNA
Rfam family: 5.8S ribosomal RNA (bases 215-369)
Source: RNAcentral